GAUGAACGCUGGCGGCGUGCCUAACACAUGCAAGUCGAGCGAACAGACGAGGCGCUUUCCUCUCUGAAGCUAGCGGCGGACGGGUGAGUCACACGAGGAUAACUUAUAUAUAAGACUAGGAUAACUUCGGGAAACCGGAUCUAACACAGGUUAAUAUAUUGAACCGCAUGGUUCAAUAGUGAUAGACGGUUUUGAUGUCCCUUGUAGAUGGAUCCGCGCCGCAUUAGCUAGUUGGUACGGUAACGGCUUACCAAGGCAACGAUGCGUAGCCGACCUGAGAGGGUGAUCGGUCACACUGGAACUGAGACACGGUCCAGACUCCUACGGGAGGCAGCAGUAGGGAAUAUUCCGCAAUGGGCGAAAGCCUGACGGAGCAACGCCGCGUGAGUGAUGAAGGUCUUCGGAUCGUAAAGCUCUUUUAGUAGGGAGGAACAGAUGUAUGAGUAACUAUUCACGUCUUGACGUUACCAAAUCAGAAAGCCACGGCUAACUACGUG
Molecule: ribosomal RNA, 497 nt
Filed under: uncultured bacterium
Lineage: Bacteria
Description: partial 16S ribosomal RNA
Rfam family: Bacterial small subunit ribosomal RNA
Source: RNAcentral